GAAGCGACCUCAGCUCAGGCGGGGCUACCCGCUGAGUUUAAGCAUAUCAAUAAGCGGADGAAAAGAA
RNAcentral lists this ribosomal RNA (67 nucleotides) under Macrolobium arenarium. RNAcentral's name for it is "partial 26S ribosomal RNA". It matches the Rfam family "Eukaryotic large subunit ribosomal RNA", at positions 1 to 63 of the family's 3401-position model. Lineage: Eukaryota; Viridiplantae; Streptophyta; Magnoliopsida; Fabales; Fabaceae. The record is from RNAcentral.